ACAUCACAGUUCUGCUCCAGGCGAUCAUCAGCACAAGCCAUCAGCCGGCCCUAGCAACCGUCACCAAGAUAAACAAACAGCAGAGGACGCCUGGAUCACAGCUCCUUCCCUUUUGGGGAUGGCCCUAAGGGAGACUUGGUUUGCCCCAGAGGGGAAAUGAUUGAAAGAAAUGGAGACACAAACCCUGGGCAGCCGAGUUCCCCUUUUAGUCAUCGACCUCCAGCGGCUUUGUGAAAGUAGGCAGACUGCGGGGACGUGGCUAGAAAAAAGUGCCAUGUCAGCCACUGGGAUGGCCAUGUGCUUGUGUCAGUGGGAAGAUGGCCUGUGGACACCCAGCUCCUUCCUCCUGCUGUGCUGCCUGCUCUUCCUCUGAAAUCAACAGAGAUUUCUGAGCUCCUUGAGACCAUAAACGACGCUGUGAACUCCUUCCUACCCACCAUCAGGAAAGCCGUCUACGGGAAUUUCUCAGAGGUGGGACUGCAAGAUCAGUAAUAUGGGCAUACCUAACCUGACUGCAUAUAGGCAGGUUGGCUGGGCUGGCUCACCUUCCCAUUAGCAAGCAGUAUAUGAGUAUUUCUGUUUUUGCAGUUUUUUUCAU
RNAcentral lists this long non-coding RNA (598 nucleotides) under Mustela putorius furo (domestic ferret). Its description in RNAcentral is "lncRNA (ENSMPUG00000024126.1)". The record is from RNAcentral. Lineage: Eukaryota; Metazoa; Chordata; Mammalia; Carnivora; Mustelidae.